UUGGCAGUGUUUCUGCAAAUACAAUUCUCUCAAAGAUCCUCUAGAUCUUCUGUGAAUCUUACUAGACUUCACUUCAUUAGACAAACACCUCACUCACUCAUGAAUCUCUGGAGAAGAAGCCCUUCUCUACCUGGUCUUCUGAGAAGAUGAAGGGACAAUACCCUGAAGCUUCUUAGAAGCCUUCUGCUGUGUUGGACAGAUCUUCCAGGCACCACCUUGGAUCCUUCUAGGAAGCUACUUGGAUCUUUCUAGGAUUUUACAACCACACCCUCAAUUUCAUCUUUAGAACUUGUUUUCCUGCCAAUGCUCUGAAUUUGAUCUAUGUCUGAAAACUAUUUCUCAAUUCCAGCAACAUUUACUGACUUAAAGAGUCUGAUGUCAAUACCAUCAAUUCCUGUGUCCUUCCUGUUUAUCAGUCUAUUCUAUGUCCACUUAGAAGACUGAACCAGUUAGAUCCAUUUCUGCAAAAGUUUCCUGAGUGUACAAGAUCAAGGACUGUUUUGAGUAUUAUCCAGAAAUUCUCCCCAUCAAUCAACCAAAUAUACUUCUCAUGAUUAUUUAGGCCUGCAAUUCCCAGAAAAGGCCUGUGUCUACUUUACGCAAAAAAUUUUCAAUAGAGAGACUGUUAACCCCUUUGAACCUGAGGACAUGAUGAUAUAGAUCAAUUUAACCUGAGGCCAAGAGACCUGGUGAUUCCAAUUUCUUUCCUAUUUGUGAUGCAUCACCCAAGCCACUGCCUCUUGCCCUGGAAUUGACAGUGUUAAAAUUCUUAGCAGUUAAGUGUCAGCAAUCAAGAGGUUGUAGAUAACCUCUGAAGCAGAGAAAUUCAACUGAGUCCAUAUCUUAAAAUAAUGGUUUGCAGACACUGGACCCAACUAGCCACAUCAAACAUGAGAGGGGAGCUAUGCAGUCAUCCCCCAGGUAAGGCUGAUGAUAUACAACUGCAUUACUAGCACCUACAACUGAAUGCCAAGUCCACAGAACAGAAGCACUGGCCUCACCUGGGAGCUAUUAGAAAUGUACAAUCUUGAGCUCCAUCUCAGACCUACUACAUCAUGGAAGGCACAGGAAGGAGAUCCCCCAAUGACACAAGGCUUUGGAAACAACAAUGUUUUUGGCAAACAAAUUUUUGAAGAACACCUACAUUCCUUGGCUCAAGGUUCCAUUCCUCCACCUUCAAAACAAGUUGCCUCAGGCCAAGUCUUUCUCACACUGCUGUCUACCUGGAUCUCUUUCUUCUGAAGCUCACCUCCUCUUAUAAGGAUGUCUCAGAUGACAGUGAGCCCACUCGGAUCAUGCAGGACACUCUCCUCAUCUGAAGGUCCGUGGAUUAGCAACCUUACUCCCUCCCAUCUGUGACCUAAUUCUCCCUCACCUAGUAAGAUAAUCAUGAUGUUUGUGGUUUAUAAUGCAGACAUCUUUGAAGGUCAUUGUUCUACCACCACAAAUAAAUGCCUCCUUAGAGACA
This is a long non-coding RNA of Marmota monax (woodchuck), 1468 nucleotides long. RefSeq lists it as uncharacterized. The transcript has 2 exons. The record is from RefSeq and is a predicted model, not a curated record. Lineage: Eukaryota; Metazoa; Chordata; Mammalia; Rodentia; Sciuridae.